GACGAACGCUGGCGGCGUGCCUAAUACAUGCAAGUAGAACGCACAGUUUAUACCGUAGCUUGCUACACCAUAAACUGUGAGUUGCGAACGGGUGAGUAACGCGUAGGUAACCUGCCUGGUAGCCGGGGAUAACUAUUGGAAACGAUAGCUAAUACCGCAUAAUAUUGAUUAUUGCAUGAUAAUUGAUUGAAAGAUGCUAUUGCAUCACUACCAGAUGGACCUGCGUUGUAUUAGCUAGUAGGUGAGGUAACGGCUCACCUAGGCGACGAUACAUAGCCGACCUGAGAGGGUGAUCGGCCACACUGGGACUGAGACACGGCCCAGACUCCUACGGGAGGCAGCAGUAGGGAAUCUUCGGCAAUGGACGAAAGUCUGACCGAGCAACGCCGCGUGAGUGAAGAAGGGUUUCGGAUCGUAAAGCUCUGUUGUAAGAGAAGAACGGGUGUGAGAGUGGAAAGUUCACACUGUGACGGUAUCUUACCAGAAAGGGACGGCUAACUACGUG
Molecule: ribosomal RNA, 505 nt
Filed under: uncultured bacterium
Lineage: Bacteria
Description: partial 16S ribosomal RNA
Rfam family: Bacterial small subunit ribosomal RNA
Source: RNAcentral